Molecule: ribosomal RNA, 250 nt
Filed under: uncultured bacterium
Lineage: Bacteria
Description: partial 16S ribosomal RNA
Rfam family: Bacterial small subunit ribosomal RNA
Source: RNAcentral
UACGUAGGGUGCAAGCGUUAAUCGGAAUUACUGGGCGUAAAGGGUGCGCAGGCGGUUUUGUAAGUCAGAUGUGAAAUCCCCGGGCUUAACCUGGGAACUGCGUUUGAAACUACAAGACUAGAGUGUAGCAGAGGGGGUGGAAUUCCAUGUGUAGCAGUGAAAUGCGUAGAGAUAUGGAGGAACAUCGAUGGCGAAGGCAGCCCCUGGGUUAACACUGACGCUCAGGCACGAAAGCGUGGGGAGCAAACAG